RNAcentral lists this ribosomal RNA (666 nucleotides) under Platysomatinus diversicollis. RNAcentral describes it as "eukaryotic LSU rRNA". It matches the Rfam family "Eukaryotic large subunit ribosomal RNA", at positions 402 to 810 of the family's 3401-position model. Lineage: Eukaryota; Metazoa; Arthropoda; Insecta; Coleoptera; Histeridae. The record is from RNAcentral.
AAACCGUUCAGGGGUAAACCUGAGAAACCCGAAAGUUCGAAAGGAGAGAUUCACCGCGACUCGUGUCGUCGGCGGGUACGAUUGCGGACGCUUGACUUCGGUCUCGCGACGAAUUCGUCUCGUACAGGACGUGCGAUCGCGUGCACUUCUCUCCCAGUAGGACGUCGCGACCCGUUGGGCGUCGGUCUACGAUCGACGGUGGAGUCCGCGAGGCGAUCUCCGGAUCUUGUCCUCGCGAACCCGUCGCAUCUGACCGGCUCGCUCGACGGUAGAAAACGAAGAGCGCGGGGCCGCGACCUAGUUCGCGUCCGGCCCGUCGCAAGCGUGUUCGGUAAUCUGGUGCACUUUCGGCGGCCUCGUGUCGCCGGUCCCGGAUCCGAACUACUGUUCGCGACGGUGUCCUCGGACAGACUCCGUAUACACGCUCGUCGGCGACGCUAUCGUUUUGGGUACUUUCAGGACCCGUCUUGAAACACGGACCAAGGAGUCUAGCAUGCACGCGAGUCUUCGGGACUCUUGUAUUAAACCUAAAGGCGAAAUGAAAGUGAAGGUCCGCCUCGGCGCGCGACCUAGGGAAGAUGGGAAGCCCCGUCAAACGGGCAACUCCGCAUUCCCGGGGCGUCUCGAUCUCAUCGCGAGAUGAGGCGCACCCUGAGCGUACACGCU